GUGAGAGGAGGACUCCACCUACCUCCAACACUAAUAAAAGCCCAGGAUCCCAGGGAUAAGAGCACCUCUGCUAUCACACUCUCAGGCAGGUGGCAGUUGUGGCGCUGGCACCAAGUCCUCCGGACCCAACUGAGACAGGACUCAUGGCAUCAAGAACCUACAUCACGGCAGUCAUUGUCUCCAUCUUCUUCAUGGUUAUCCUGUCCUGCUCAAGUGCUCCAGUGACCCCCACAGAUUCCCAAGUGAUCGUGUGCCAGCCCUGGCUCCUAUGUGGGACUGUGGCCUACAACCCCCAGGAGAAUCAAUGCUGUGAGGAUGGCAGUGUCCAGCCCUUCCCCCUGAGCUGUGGUCCUACAUUCACCUAUGACCCCUGCUUUCAGCAUUGCUGCCCCGACUCUUACCGGGGGAAGUACACUGUGGUUAAUAAGACAAGGGGAGGGACCGAGAGAAGUGACUGUGAAAUGGCAGUAGGAGCUGACAUCCGGUUGGGAAGGCCAAUAUCAGUCAUGCACAAUCCACUGGGUGCUGGGCUCCUUCUUUCUUAUUAUUAUAUGAAUAUUAAUAAAUGAUAAUAACCACCUCCUUAUGUCACUCAUUCCCUUUACACUUUCAUUAGAGGCUCUCACAAACAGCCUUGUGAGGGGAGAUAAUACAGUGCUGCCUCCUUUUUACAGAUGGAGAAACUGAGGCCCAGAAAGGGAUCAGGAUUUGCCCAAGGUCACACAGUGGGUCAAGACUGGGAUUGCAACCCAGAUCUCCUUAUGCCUAGCCACCUAAAUGCACAGAUAUGGAAUCAGAAACACCCACAUUCACCUGCAGACCUUCCUGGUUUCUCUCCCUCUUUGCACCCUGGUUCACAGCUUCAUGAAUGCCAAGUCCUGGAUUUGGCAGUGGGGUAGCAAGUUGAGCUGUGAAGACAGAGACCCCAGGCAGUACUGGACAGGCACAAUGAGAAAGGAAUGGAGGAGCAGGGAGCCUGAAGAGCCCAGCCUGGUUCUGCUCUGGGCAGGGAGGGAAGGGGGCUUAUUUGAGGGGUAGAAGGAAGACAGAAAUAAAACUACUGCCUUGGGUUUUCA
RNAcentral lists this long non-coding RNA (1076 nucleotides) under Phascolarctos cinereus (koala). RNAcentral's name for it is "lncRNA (ENSPCIG00000032416.1)". The record is from RNAcentral. Lineage: Eukaryota; Metazoa; Chordata; Mammalia; Diprotodontia; Phascolarctidae.